RNAcentral lists this ribosomal RNA (254 nucleotides) under uncultured bacterium. RNAcentral describes it as "partial 16S ribosomal RNA". It matches the Rfam family "Bacterial small subunit ribosomal RNA", at positions 524 to 776 of the family's 1533-position model. The record is from RNAcentral.
UACAGAGACUGCAAGCGUUAUUCGGGUUCACUGGGCGUAAAGGGUGCGCAGGCGGUUGGGUGUGUCAGAUGUGAAAUCCCGAGGCUCAACCUCGGAACUGCGUCUGAAACUACUCGACUAGAGUACUGGAGAGGGAAACGGAAUUCACGGUGUAGCAGUGAAAUGCGUAGAUAUCGUGAGGAACACCAGAGGCGAAGGCGGUUUCCUGGACAGUUACUGACGCUCAGGCACGAAAGCAUGGGGGAGCAAACAGG